RNAcentral lists this ribosomal RNA (220 nucleotides) under uncultured bacterium. RNAcentral's name for it is "partial 16S ribosomal RNA". It matches the Rfam family "Bacterial small subunit ribosomal RNA", at positions 335 to 573 of the family's 1533-position model. The record is from RNAcentral.
ACUCCUACGGGAGGCAGCAGUGGGGAAUCUUAGACAAUGGGGGCAACCCUGAUCUAGCCAUGCCGCGUGAGUGAUGAAGGCCUUAGGGUCGUAAAGCUCUUUCGCCAGGGAUGAUAAUGACAGUACCUGGUAAAGAAACCCCGCUAACAUCCGUGCCAGCAGCCGCGGUAAUACGGAGGGGUUAGCGUUGUUCGGAAUUACUGGGCGUAAAGCGCGCGUA